GUAGUGAAGAGACUAGAAUGUUACUGCUUCUACUCUACCAUGUCGGUGUAGCAGUUUCUCAGUGGCUUCAUCCCCCAGUCAUCCCUUUUUUAUGUGCACUCUAUAUGCUCAUCGCAGUGGAAUGACUGCAGUCACUUCUGAAUGUCAUAAUAGUGCUAGUAGCACUGCUAGUAGUACCAGUUGUGUGGUGUAUUGGAGAUGGCCACAAAUUCAUUGUCAACCUCUCAUUGAAAGGUGGAAUCUAAUUGUCUCCCUUGGAAUCUGGGAUGGCUGUCCUACUUAUUUGACCAACAGAAUUUGUCAGAAGGGACUUUCUGUAACUUCUGAAGCUGUCUCAUAAGAAGCCUUGCAGAUUCUGCUCAUGUCUCUUUCCUCUCUGGGAAACAAGUCGCGACUCAGGGAUAAGCCUGAGACACAUGGAGAGAACAUCCUGAUCAAUCUGGUCUUUGCUGCUACCCUGGUCAACAGCCUGAGCUGGAUACCUGGCUGACAAGUACCACCUUUUUCCUACACAGAUGACAACCCAGCCCAUGAGCACCAGAUGCCACUGCUACUCCUUCACUUGCUCAUUCUGCAAAAGUUUGUAGAUCUUCUGCAAGGAGAACGGCAUUGUUAACUACCUACAGGAAGUGUCUCAGAUUAACAGACGUGUGUAGGAUUUCAGUCCCAUUUGAAUACACCCGAUGGAUGUACGACCUUGAGAAAUUUACUUAACACUUCCAGGUCAGCCCGGCGUGGUGGCUUAUGCCUGUAUUUCCAGCACUUGGGGAGGCCAAGCCGGGUGGAUCACGAGGUCAGGAGUCCGAGACCAGCCUGGCCAACAUGGUGAAAACCUGUCUCUACUAAAGAUACAAAAAUUAUCUGGGUGUGGUGGUGGGCGCCUGCAAUUCCAGCUACUCGGGAGGCUGAGGCAGGAGAAUCAUUUGAACCUGGGAGGCAGAGGUUGCAGUGAGCCAAGAUCACACCAUUGCACUCCAGCGGGGGCAACAGGGCUAGACUGCCUCUCAAAACAAACAAACAAACAAACAAACAAACAAAAACAUUUCGGGGUCAAAUGUUUGUCACCUAAAAACAAAGCCAUUGAGCAUAAGAAGAACAUAAUGGACUUUGGGGACUCAGGAGGAAAGUGUGGGAAGGGGAUGAGGGAUAAAAGACGACAAAUAUGGUGCUGUGUAUACUGCUCUGGUGAUGGGUGCACCAAAAUCUCACAAAUCACCACAAAAGAACUUACUCAUGUAACCAAAUACCACCUGUUUCCCAAUAACCUAUGGAAAUAAAAAAAAUUUUAAAAAAACCAAAGCCAUUGAGUAAGAUAUUUGCUUUCAUUUACAUCUAAUAUUCAGAGUAAAAGAGUCUAUAAACCGAAUACUACCUAACACUGCAGAAUUAAACUAUGUUCACGUAACUAAUCUUCAACAUUCCCUAAUCCUCCAUCCUACAAACAACACUCCUGUCCAUGUAGCUUAACAAUAUUGGCUGAAUUAAUUAUCAGAAGAUAGUAUAGUAUGCAAUAAAAACAAUGCUCAUGAUUCUUCAGGCUUUCUGCAUCCACAGCCUUUAAAAUUUGGCUCUGUUUCUCUAAUUCUUGAAUCUGGACAACUAGAGUUGUCACCUGUUUUGACCAAUAGGUUGCCGUAGAAUUGACAUGCUGUGACUUCCAUAACCCACUCACCAAAAGAUGUUGUGUGUUUCCACUCUCUCUCCUGGAAACCAGACAAGUGCCAGGAUAAUCAGAUAAGUCUGGUGGACUGGAGAAGAAGAGACCACAUAUAACAGAACUGAACCAUUCCAGCUGAAGGCAUCUUAGAUAAACUAGCCCUCAGGCAAUCUAGCAGUUGACCACAAUUGCAUGAGCGAACUCAGAGGAGAUCAGAAGAGCUUCUCAACAGAGCCCAGAGUAAAUCAUUGACUCAGAGAAUUGUGAGAUAACUUAAAGAUGCUGCUUAAUGCCCCGAAGUUGGAGUGUUUUGUUACACACCAAAAGUCAACUGAUACAUGGAGCUGUCUACUUGACUUUUUUAAAAUGAAAAUCUUCACACAUUUCAAGACUCCUAUCUGAUUCAGUUUUUUCAAUAAUGUCUGCUCUAGUAAUUUCAAUCUACAUUGAACAUAUUCAUUUAUUUAUUGGACAAACAUUUUGUAACUGUUCAUUAGGUUUUCUUUUUUACUUGCACUAUACUUUUGUCCUUUAUCACAUUAAAUACUGCCUACAUUAGAUUAUCUGUUAGCAUCUUACCAUAUAUUAGGCCAUUUUCUGUCUCAUAGCAAGUAGAAGGCUAAAAUCCACAUUUCCUAGACUUCUUUAUCAUCCCAUUCUAGCUUAACUUUUACAAGGUUAAAAGGUACUGGCAAGGUAUUUGGAAGGUCAAAAAAAAAAAAAAAGAAGAAGCCAUGAUUACUCUAGCAGUAGGUGGUGCUGGGCUUUGUCAGAAGAAGAUAUGAUAUUUUGUCAGUAGCUCAUGUUUGUUAUCCUAUAAAUUACUUACUUUGAUGCUCUUAGUAACUGAUAUGCUUAGCAAAAAUUGUUGGAGAUACUAGUACUUUCUGGUAUUAGCAUCUUCCCUGACCUUUUCUAAUCCUGUUCUUCCAAAGGUUUUAUAAGAGUAUAGUUCUCUGUAUUAAAUCAUUUUAUGUUGGAAAUAUUUAGAUUGAUUUCUAUUUCCCACAUUGAACUUUGAGAGGUUUUUUAAUAUACACUUAUGUGUAUAUUAUGUGUGUAAUAUACAUACAUGUGUAAUAUACACUUAUGUGUGUGUAUAUAUACACACACAAAAUUAUAUAUAUAAGGUAUAUAUAUAUUAACUAUAAAUGUUAAUAUAUAUAACAUAAUUAUAAACAUGAUUGACAAUAGAGUACAAAUUUAUUAACUAUAUAUAAAAAUUAUUUAGCACUAAUAAUGUUCAAGAAUUUAUAAGUAGUAAGAUUCAUCACUCUUUUUUUUAAUAUGGGUAAAUUGAGAUCCAGAGAAAUAAAUGACUUUUCCAAGUCAAUCAUGAGCUACUGUCAUCACUGAGAUUGCUAUGGUAAUUGAUUGGCAUAAUUGGACCUGCAGAUUUCUAGAAAAAACAUGGAGUUAGAUGUCUAUUUUAUAAGAGACCAGGCUCUCUAGGGGGAAAUGCAGGUGUGCUAGGGCUGGGGUGGAAAGUAAGGGACAGUAAGACUGGAAAUUUCAGGCCACCUAGCCUCAUUUUAAGAAGAGUAGCUCCAUUUUAAUCUACUGCCUAUACAGUCAUCACUUGGUAUCUUCUGCAGACUGUUUCCAGGACUCUGCAUAGAUACAAAAAUCUAAAGAGUCUCAAGUCUUUGGUAUAAAAUGGCAUCAUAUUUCCAUAUAACCUACAAACAUCCUCCUAUACACUUUAAAUUGUUCCUAGAUCAGUUAAAAUACCUAAUACAAGACCUACACAUCACUUCAUUCAUGUGGAUUCAAUGGAGUACUCAGUGCUUGGCAAAAUCAAGUUAUGCUUUUUGGAACUUCAUGAAUCUUUUUCUAAAUAUUUUUGAUCCGUGAUUGGUUGAACUCACAGAUGCAGAACUUAUGGUUAUGGAGGACUGACUUGUAUAUGCCUUUCUUUUAAUAUUUCAUUUAAAGAUAGAAUGGAUUAAAAUACCUUUCAAACUAUUGUAAUUAUUGGCAAUCCGUUGCUUGAGAAACAAAUUAGAUGUGAUUGACAAUAUAGAGUACGUUUUUAAAAAUUCUUAUUUCUUAAAACAAUUUAAAGUAUAAUUGAUGUACUAUAAGUUGUACAAACACAGUUUGUUGUGCAUAUGUACUUGUGAUCCCAUUGCC
Molecule: long non-coding RNA, 3790 nt
Organism: Homo sapiens (human)
Lineage: Eukaryota; Metazoa; Chordata; Mammalia; Primates; Hominidae
Source: Ensembl